AGCAGCCGCGGUAAUUCCAGCUCCAAUAGCGUAUAUUAAAGUUGUUGCAGUUAAAAAGCUCGUAGUUGAAUUUCGGGGCCAGUAGGUUGGUCGUGCCACUGGUAUGCACUGGCCUUACUGGUCCCUCCUUCUUGUAGAACCGUGAUGCUAUUAAUUUGGUGUUGCGGGGAAACAGGACUGUUACUUUGAAAAAUUAGAGUGCUUAAAGCAGGCUCGCGCUUGAAUACAUUAGCAUAGAAUAACGGAAUAGGACGAUCGAACCUAUUUUGUUGGUUUCUAGGAUCGACGUAAUGAUUAAUAGGGAUAGUUGGGGGCAUUAGUAUUCAAUUGUCAGAGGUGAAAUUCUUGGAUUUAUUGAAGACUAACUACUGCGAAAGCAUUUGCCAAGGAUGUUUUCAUUAAUCAAGAACGAAAGUUAGGGGAUCGAAGACGAUCAGAUACCGUCGUAGUCUUAACCAUAAACUAUGCCGACUAGGGAUCGGAUAAAGU
This 489-nucleotide ribosomal RNA is filed under the name uncultured Glomus. Its description in RNAcentral is "SSU rRNA". It matches the Rfam family "Eukaryotic small subunit ribosomal RNA", at positions 569 to 1063 of the family's 1831-position model. The record is from RNAcentral. Lineage: Eukaryota; Fungi; Glomeromycota; Glomeromycetes; Glomerales; Glomeraceae.